Molecule: ribosomal RNA, 417 nt
Filed under: uncultured microorganism
Description: bacterial SSU rRNA
Rfam family: Bacterial small subunit ribosomal RNA
Source: RNAcentral
GAGUUUGAUCCUGGCUCAGAUUGAACGCUGGCGGCAUGCCUUACACAUGCAAGUCGAACGGCAGCAUGAUCUAGCUUGCUAGAUUGAUGGCGAGUGGCGAACGGGUGAGUAAUACAUCGGGACGUGCCCUGUAGUGGGGGAUAACUAGUCGAAAGAUUAGCUAAUACCGCAUACGACCUGAGGGUGAAAGUGGGGGACCGCAAGGCCUCAUGCUAUAGGAGCGGCCGAUGUCUGAUUAGCUAGUUGGUGGGGUAAAGGCCCACCAAGGCGACGAUCAGUAGCUGGUCUGAGAGGACGAUCAGCCACACUGGGACUGAGACACGGCCCAGACUCCUACGGGAGGCAGCAGUGGGGAAUUUUGGACAAUGGGCGAAAGCCUGAUCCAGCAAUGCCGCGUGUGUGAAGAAGGCCUCGGUU